CCACAGCCAAUUAAGCCAACGAGAUAUCUUUCAUCAUGGGGACCUGGUGUGCAAUGGCUGCAAACAGCAUCCCUCCUUGGGAGGGUAUGUAGUCGGUGAUUUAUUGGAUUGCUCUAAGAGAAAUAGUUAUCU
This is a small nucleolar RNA of Mastomys coucha (southern multimammate mouse), 132 nucleotides long. RefSeq annotates it as small nucleolar RNA SNORA70. The record is from RefSeq and is a predicted model, not a curated record. Lineage: Eukaryota; Metazoa; Chordata; Mammalia; Rodentia; Muridae. The transcript has a single exon.